Long non-coding RNA from Cornus florida, 5832 nucleotides. RefSeq lists it as uncharacterized. The record is from RefSeq and is a predicted model, not a curated record. Lineage: Eukaryota; Viridiplantae; Streptophyta; Magnoliopsida; Cornales; Cornaceae. The transcript is spliced from 2 exons.
ACAUGAGAGAAUUGUAUGACGAAGGUUCGUACCCCACUCGAGCACAGGAGCCUGGACGGCUUUGAACAUUAGAGAAUUGUAUGAGGUAGGUUCAGACCCCACUCGAGCACAGGAGCCUGAACACUAUUAUGGGGCUAGUUUGUCCUGAAUAAUGUUAGGCUCGUUUGCCAGCCUUUGACAAUAUUUUGGUCCAGCCCAAAUAAACCCAUAUUCCAUUAUAUCAAAAUGAACCCAAACAAAAUUGGCCCAUAUUCCCUCUAUAAAUUCAACUAAUCAGAAGCCGAAAGUCAUGAUGCCCUAAUCUCAUUUCCAAUCCGCCGACCACAUGAUGCCAUGCCCUCUCGUCUCUCAUGAUCAGAAGCUUUGCGUCAAAGCUCUGCAAAUGAUCCUAGCUGAGCUGAGUUUUGGUGUUCGAGCUAUGCUCGAGCUCGAUCAAACUCGACUCGGCCAGUGCUCGAACGAGCCCGGUUAGGCUGUUCGUUUAUGCAUACUAAUAUAUGAAUCUAUGUAUACAUACCCAGUGAUCUUCCAUGUUUGAUUUCCAAAUCUCAUUCCCUAUUUUGAUAUAUGCAUCUAUGAAUCUGUAAAUGCAUACCCAUUGAGAUUGAGUCUUGAUAUAAGUAUUUGACUAGUUUUCUCAUCACUGAGACUAGUGUGGAACUUUCAUUAAUGGUUCUCUCUUGUUCAGUUUUAGUGACGAAACAUAGAUCAUUGUUGAGAGCUUAGAAGAACCCACCAUUGCAUUGUUAAAGCUUCCCCAGUUUUCAUUCUUAAGAAGUAGGACUUUGUAUGCCUUUUUUUUUUUGAACUGCUGGUAGUGUGGAGCCUAUUAGGCUUGUAUAAGCACCAUAUACUGUAAUUGUUUAAUGCCUUGCUCAAGUAUUUGAAGUCCAGAAGUUAUAGGUUUAAAAAAAUAAUAAAAAAAUUGUUUUCCUUUUGGCAUUUUGGAGUACUCUGUAAGGACUAAGAAGCAACACAAAAUGAUGAAAUUUCUCAAUCUGAAUUCCAAUGUGGAAUCUGCAUUGCAGUAGCCUUCAAAGUUCUCUGAUUGUUUUGCUAGAUGAUAUUAUUUUCUAAAACAUGGUUGCAUUUGAUGUCGAGUCCCUUUCUGGAUGCUUAUUUCACAACUCUUAUGUCAUUUGUUGUGUUGGGGCAUUUGAUUAUUUGUAAUUCCAGAUAUGUGAAAUACUUAAAUUUGCUGCCUGGACUACUGAUCCCAAUGCUUUGUUUAAUUGCUUUUUGUCGCACCAAAAUACAUAGUCUGUUACUGUAUAAUCCUUUCAGACUAUACGAGCAUGGUGCCAUAGAAAUAAUUUUUCGUCGUUCAUUUGUUUUUUGACUCAUCUGUGUCAUACGACAGGACCAAUGAAAAUUUGGAAAAAGACAUCCAGCUAUGACUGUCAAAUUUCUAAACUUGGAUGUUAGAGUCCCACUAAUAAUGAUCCUUGUUGUCAGUCUAAUUCAAUGAGAUAUGUUUAGGGAUCAUUCUAAUUUUUUAAUAGACUUCUUGACACGAUCAAUGACCAUUUCUUUUUGUCACAUGGGAGAGACUCAAAGGCUGCUGUUCUAUUUUAUCUUUUAGAAUGAGGAAAUACUUUUAAGUAUGGUCGUCAAUAGUUGGCCCAUUUCUCUACCAGAUUUGGUUUCCACCAAUAUGUACCUUUUGGAGCACUUUUAAAUGUUAACAUGAUUAAUAUUGUUGCUGGUGAUAAUGUUACUGCUGUUCAUAUUAUUUUUUCAAAUUUAGCUAGCCAUUUUUUUGGAGUACCCUGCUAGAAGCAAAGCAAAAUGAUGAAAUUUCUUAAUCUGAAUUCCAAUGUGGAAUCUGCAUUGCAGUAGCCUUCAAAGUUCUCUGAUUGCUUUGCUAGAUGAUAUCACUUUCUAGGCAUGCUUGCAUUUGAUGUUCAAUAGCCAUCGAGUCCCUUUUUGGAUACUUAUUUCAUAACUCUCUCAGGGUUCCAUGAAAUAGUUCUUCCACUUAUUUAUUUUCAUAUGUGUGGGAUAGCUCUUUGCUUAUAACUUAAUAGGGUGUAUCUGAAAUCCAUUCUCUAAAGAUUUAGCAUCUUAAUAUAUAUUACUGCAGUGUCGGAUGUGUUAUGUUACUUAUAAAUAUUUAGCAAUUAAGUGUUCCCCAUGUCAUUUGUUGUGUUGGAUCAUUCUGUUACAGCAGUGUCAAAUGAAAUGGUCAUUCGAUUGUUUGUAAUUCCCCAUGUCUUAAUAUGUAUUACUGCAGUGUUGGAUUUGUCAUGCUUCUUAAAUUUGCUGCAUGGAUUACUGGUCCUAAUGUUUUGGUUAAUUGCCUUUUGUCAUGUUGACUAGGAUUUUGUUCUUAACAAGGAGUUAUUUCCACCUUUAUGAUUCAAAAUAAGAGAUGCAGAUCUUAUUCUUGUCUUCACUAAGUUAAGAAAGAAAAGGAAAGAUUUUGAGCACCAAAAUACAUAGUCUGUUACUGAAUACUCCUUUCAGACUUUACGAGCAUGGUGCCACAGAAAUAAUUUUUCAUGGUCAUUGUCUCUUGUCUCAUCUGUGUCAAACGACAAGACCAAUGAAAAUUUGGAAAAAGACAUCCAGCUAUGACUGCUGACUUACUUAACUUGGAUGCUAGAAUCCCGCCAUUAUUGGUCCCUUGUAUAUAUUCAUUUUCUGCAUUAAAUUGUUGCGAGUUUAAUUCAACUAGACAUGUUUAGGGAUUAUUCUGACCGCUUAAUAGAAAUGUUGGAUAUUUAUUUGACAUGUGCAUUGAUAAGUGACCAAAUGGGACAGACUCAAAGAUUGCUGCCGUAGCUUAUCUUUUAGAACAAUGAGUACUUUUAGGUAAUAUAUUCAAAGAUUUGCCCUUCUUCUUUGCUAUCUUUACUCUUUAGUUUCUAUCAAUUCCUACCUUUUGGAGCAUUUGCAAAUGAUAACUUGAUGUAUAAUUAAUUUGUUAUUGCUGCUGAUGAUGAUAUUACUGUUGUUAUUAUUAUUAUUUCUAUUAUAGUUUUUGUGAUGUCGUGGCCGGAAUUUUGGUGCCGGCUCGCAACCAGCCCGUUGGAUGAGCUUUUUGUGGGCCUGAAAAUGGUUAUUUGGUUAUUGUAAAAUUUUAAUUAAACCCUGAAAAUGUUUGUCAUUCCAAAGGGGUUUAAAUAGGCUUGUGCAAUUUGCCUUUUUUUACCUUCAGUAUAUGAGAUACCUUAAAAUCCCCAGAGACAUACCAUGCACUAGGGAGGAAGGAAUUGUGCUUUAAUUGUCUUACCAUGUUGAGGUGAACUUGUGAUUGCGAGUAUGAAUGUUCUUUUUUGCUGUCUCAGUGGUAUGCCUUUUCUUGUCCUUCUCCUCCUUUUGGUUGAUGGGUUGAUGAUAUGAGUGCUGGUUUACUGCUAAUUCAAUUAUAUGUCAAAGCUCUUCUUGUUGUUGUUGCUUAGAUGACUUGAUGUUACAUAAUGUUGGUUUAGGUAUUGGAAUAAAAAGUGAACAUCUUUGUCAUCAGUAUUAUUCAACUUGCAAGCAAAUAGACAUUGGCACAAUAUAUGAUUAGUUGCAUGGUCCGUAGGUUUUGUAUCACAGAGUAAACUUUCUGCUGUAGCUUUUUGUUUCUCCCCCAUCUUCACCCACUGAUUCAACCUUCAAGGUAGGUACAGUUCAAAUCCUAGUAAUGUGCUAGCUUCUAUUUUACUAGUUUAUUUGUACUUUUGCCUGUAGCAUGUUCAUUUCAGCCGCUCUAAUAGUAAAAGUGUGCUUUGCUUACGUGUACAAAAAUGUGAUACUUGAUCUGACAAAACAAAACUUGGAAUGUUGCUUCUGCUGCCUCAUAGAUAUCCUAAACCCUUGCUGAUGUAAUUGUGAUAAUUUCAUUCCCUUCAAUCGAAAUAUUAGUUUAUGGCUCAAUUAAACACGUAUGCAGUAUGCACCAUUCUAUCACAAAAACAUAUAUAUAUAUAUGAGAAAAUGAAAAGUAAUGGCAUGGGUCACCCCCUUCUUUGUGCCCAAUCCGCUGACGAGUUAAGUGAGACCUCUCUAGUAAAGUUACCAUCUAGGGAACCAUCAAUUUUUCUUAACAUACUUAUUUAUCUCAAAUUUCUUUGUCUUUUCUAUUAUUCUCCAUUUUUUUUUUACCAGUUUUUGGUUUUCUCAGUAUGUAGUAGAGCUAGUUAUUUUACUAUUUUAAUGGCAACAAUAAACUAUAAACUGUUAUCUCAUGUAAAGGGAAGUUAGCAAUAUAUUUUUCAUGUUAUGGAUUCGAGUUCUAUAUGUUAGUUGCAACUGUUUUGUUGAGAGUCAUCAACUAAGCCAAAUAACUCUAUUCUUAAUGAGCUUGAUGUAUUAUUUUGUGCUUAGAUGGAAAUUAAAUUAUUGUACGAGUGUUGCCAUAUGUUGUUGGUGCAAAGAUGCCUUACAGAAUUUCAGUGUUCGUAAGUUGUUGCUUUUAUGCUUUGUGCUUAUUUAUUUUCUUCUUUUGUUCUUCUCUUUAUGAACUAAGCCACUGAUCAUUGGCUUUCUAGUUUCUUUUUCUUUUCUUUUUUCCAUAAACCAUGUAUCAUGACAAGAAACUAACAAAACUCUACAAUACAAUUUUCUUACUGCCUAAUAUUGCACUUCUUUGAGUCGAUUCCAUUUUCUUUUUAUUGCAAAUUUGAGAAUUCUACUAUCUAAUAUUGAUACAUUUGCGAUUUCUAAUAUGCAAUCCAUGAAUUCUAAUAUGUAAGCCAAGACGUGGAAAUUGAUGUUCAUGGUGGUGCAAUCCCUAUAGCUAUUAUAGAUUGUAUUGGACAAUCAGAACAUCUAUUUGAAGGGGAAAAAUCGUCUCCAGACACCCUCUCACUGGAGGGUGUCCAUUGCUGACAUGGAGGCUAGUAAAUGGGUGACAUGGCAGGGGUAAAAAUGGAUCUAAUGGCUGAAAACCGGCGGGACAAGCACCGGUGGUGAUUGGUGGCCAGAUUUUUGGGUAGUGUUUGGUGUUUGUUCCUCUCCUCUUCGUAACGACGGCGAAUUCGCCCAAAUCAGCCUUUGCUCCUUCCUGGUGCUUGACCGCAGCAGAGAGUUGAUGUUGAGGCAGAGGGCGUGAAGAAGAUCAUGGUGUGGCUCGAAGUUCAGUCUUGCUGCGAUGGUGGUUUGUGCUGUUCAGUCCGGUAGUGAUGGUGGUUUGUGGUGUACGUCGCAGCACUACAGCAGAGAGUUGAUGUUGAGGCAGAGGGUGUGAAGAAGAUCACGGUGCGGCUCACCCCAGACUCUGUCAGACUGGACUGAAGCUCGCCGGAGUCAGACUUGCGUGUAAUGUACGUGUAUAUGUGUCUGUGUAUAUAUGUAUCUGUGUGUAUAUGACGAUGGAGUAAGGGUAGAGAGAGAAAGAGGAGCAAGGACGAUACCGGAGUUCCUGAGAGAUAGAAUGGACGGUGGAGAUCCGGCGAAGGUGCAGGCCAUCAAGUUGUGGACAAGUAGGAAUCCGCUCUUCUGCAAAUCCACGAGCACCACCGGCCGCCGUGGCUCCACUGCGGCAGCUCCAAUUUCGGAAUCGGUGGCAUAAUUCUCAACCCCAAUCACAUCACAAAAUGCAUAAAUGUUGAAUUGGGAGAAGGGGUAUUUUGGAGAUUGGAAAUUUUUUUUGUGGUGCACUGGUGUUGCCGGCGGUUGCGGUGGUGGUGAAGGAGGACCGGUGGUGAGGAUGGUUUUGGUAUAUUGUAUUUGUAUAUGGACAUUGAGAGGUGCCAUGGAGAGGAUUACUGCCCCUAUUUGAAUGGAAUCAAAGAAGUGACGCAUUGGCACAAGUGGCGUUUCCUGGAUAUAAAUAAAGAAGAGGAAAUUUGAUGCAGUCAGUCCUUGUUUUGCUUUGUCCUUUUUUUUUUUUUUUUUUUA